UGAGUCGGCCGGGCGGCCGCGGCAUCCCUCGAGGGUGUCGAGGAAAGUCCGGACUCCACAGAGCGACGGUGGUGGCCAACAGCCACCCACGGCGACGUGCGGGACAGUGCCACAGAGAACAGACCGCCAGCGGCCACCCUCGGGUGGUGCGGGUAAGGGUGAAACGGUGAGGUAAGAGCUCACCAGCACGGCGGGUGACCGUCGUGGCUCGGUAAACCCCACCGGGAGCAAGACCAAGUAGGCCCCGUCCGCGGGGCCGUGCCGCAGGGCUGCUCGUCCUCAGCGGCAGGUAGGUCGCACCGAGGUGUCCAGCAAUGGGCAUCCCAGAUGGAUGGCCGCCCCUGCUCCGGCAGGACAGAAUCCGGCUUACAGGCCGACUCAUUCG
Molecule: RNase P RNA, 385 nt
Filed under: Aeromicrobium tamlense
Lineage: Bacteria; Bacillati; Actinomycetota; Actinomycetes; Propionibacteriales; Nocardioidaceae
Also listed under: 1 other name
Description: RNase P RNA component class A
Rfam family: Bacterial RNase P class A
About the family: Ribonuclease P (RNase P) is a ubiquitous endoribonuclease, found in archaea, bacteria and eukarya as well as chloroplasts and mitochondria. Its best characterised activity is the generation of mature 5'-ends of tRNAs by cleaving the 5'-leader elements of precursor-tRNAs.
Source: RNAcentral